This is a long non-coding RNA of Homo sapiens (human), 752 nucleotides long. Ensembl annotates it as cancer susceptibility 15. Its record names the gene CASC15. NCBI's taxonomy places the organism in Eukaryota, Metazoa, Chordata, Mammalia, Primates, Hominidae. The record is from Ensembl.
GGUGUGAAUCAUGGCAAUACAGUGAAAGACAGUGAUUUACUGCUUUUGAGGGCGUGCAUGUAUAUGAUUAACGGAUGGAAGUGCAGGACUCCAAGAUUUACUUCCUUCCCUUUCCAGCAGAAUUACCUGAGACGAGCAAAGGCACACAUUUUAAACGUUCAAGAAGAACAGCAGAAACAAGACAGGAUCAAAGCAAAAUACAAAGAAAACAAGAUUGGAGAAUCAGAGAAUCAAGAUCCAAGGAAAAAUGUUUACUUUGGCAGAAAUACCUAGAAAAUAUAGUGACUGCAGGCCUUGUUUCAAGUUCACAUAUUGAAUCUCAACAUGUUUACUUAUUUGCAAGUGUAAAAUCUACUGGUGGAGUCACUCCAUUAUUCUUAUCUGUGGAGAUCUAGAUCUUGAUUUGAAAGUUUCUGAGAAAAUCUUCAGCUCAGACUUGAGGGUCAACUUUACCAGCUGAAGUGACUACAUCCUGCCUGCUUUCAGCUCCAGUGGAAAAUGCAUUAAUCCCAGAGUCUCCGUGAGGUUUCCUGUUUGAUGACAUAAUCAGAAAAUCCUCCUCACAUUGCCCUUGGGGUUGCUGUCUGGAUGUUAUGUUGUCUUGGUGGGUGUAACUCAGCCAUCAAAAAAAUCAGCACAGGCCAUAAACUCAGGACCUGAAAUGCAUUAAUAUAAUGUUAAACGAAAUAACGCUGUGGGUAUGUCUGCAGCACUGGUAGGGAAUUUCAUUAAACUGCAGAUUCUCCCUGGCA